This 283-nucleotide long non-coding RNA is filed under the name Lathyrus oleraceus (garden pea). RNAcentral describes it as "Pisum sativum (pea) long non-coding RNA (PSAT_LNC013320)". The record is from RNAcentral. Lineage: Eukaryota; Viridiplantae; Streptophyta; Magnoliopsida; Fabales; Fabaceae.
GACUUUUCUUCAUAGUUUUUCUUUGUUUUCUUGACAAUCUCCUCUUACUAGGAUUUCUGUCUCCUUGUACUCAAAUUGCCUGUUUAUAGGCCCUCUUUCAAAAUCAAUACAAUUUUAUUUCCAAAAAGAUGCUUUUGUUUUACUUUCUCUGUUUUGUUUGCAUAAACGUCCAUUGAUUUAAUUCGAAUUAAUAUAUGCGUUUGAACAUGAUUGAUGUUUACCGAAAAUACAUGCAUAAAAUAGAAAUAGCAGUUACUAAAAGACUUUAGGAUCGAGAUUAAAG